CAGUAGCCGCGGUAAUACAGAGGGUGCGAGCGUUAAUCGGAUUUACUGGGCGUAAAGCGUGCGUAGGCGGCUUCUUAAGUCGGAUGUGAAAUCCCUGAGCUUAACUUAGGAAUUGCAUUCGAUACUGGGAAGCUAGAGUAUGGGAGAGGAUGGUAGAAUUCCAGGUGUAGCGGUGAAAUGCGUAGAGAUCUGGAGGAAUACCGAUGGCGAAGGCAGCCAUCUGGCCUAAUACUGACGCUGAGGCACGAAAGCGUGGGGAGCAAACAGGAUUAGAGACCCCCGUAGUCCCUGUCUCUUAUAU
RNAcentral lists this ribosomal RNA (301 nucleotides) under uncultured bacterium. RNAcentral's name for it is "partial 16S ribosomal RNA". It matches the Rfam family "Bacterial small subunit ribosomal RNA", at positions 509 to 809 of the family's 1533-position model. The record is from RNAcentral.